CAACGCUUUGCCGCCAGAAGAGCAAAGCUGUGCGCUACGUGCAGGGGGGAUCCCGCGGCCCGGCGGGUCCUGCCUUGCUGAGCAUCGCGGCGAGGCCCCGCGGCUGCAAACCCGGCUGCAACCCGUGCCGGAUCCUGGCUGCAGCCUGCGUGCACCCACUGCAAGCCGCGUGCGUCCACCUGCAAUGGUAGGGCAUCCACACGCUGCAGCCCGCAUGCACCCAACCGCAAUGGUAGGGCAUCCACACGCUGCAGCCCGCGUGCAUCCAUCCGCUGCAGCCCGCGUGCAUCCACCCGUUGCAACCCUCGUGCACCCACCCAGCUGCAUCCCGCCUGCGCCCACCCGCUGCAACCCCCGUGCACCCACCCAGCGCCUCCUCCCCAAGGCCCAACACAAGGCGCAGCCAGAGCCCCAAACAAGAUCCCAACUGACCCAAACACCCUGCGCAGCGUUUGCCAUCUUUGCCCCGGUUUGAGCAUCGGGGAUGCGAUAGAGGAUUUAACUGGAGGACCAGAACUCGGCUGCUGGGGAGGGUCUGAAAAACUCGGUGAGUCAGAGCAGAGCCUCGGCUGGGUGAAGUCGGUGAAGUCGCACAGAUUCACGCCAGAUGAGCCGCUGGUCCCCGCUCUUCCUUCUCCCUGCGCGUUCCCGGAGAGGCUCCGUUCAAGCUGUGAGUUUCAAUGUUUUAGGAAUUUCACUUUGUGUUUUGAGCUCGAACAUCCUAAAAUCUCGCCGAAGAAAUGUGAAUGAGUCCGCGGAGCCUCUCCCAGCGCCGUGCUGCGAGCAGACUUUGUUUCCGUGCGCUCGCCUGGCGUGCGUCUGGCUUUGCCCAGCAGCGCGUGGAUUUGAGCGCAGCUUUGAGCGAAGCUCUUUCCUUUAACUUCAGGUAAUUUUCGGUAGAGACUCCGUGAAGCUAUGAUGUUUUUUGCGGGCUUAGAAACGGGGUUCAGCCGUGAGGCAUACGCAGGUUCAUCAUGGAAGCGGAAUUUGAUCUGGCCUUCCCUGAAUUCAGCAGGUAUCUGGUGUCGAGCCGGGGCGAUUGGUUCAGAUCGGCAUCAUGGUUUAUACAGGGCUCCUGGACUGGCAGAAGUCUGUGUGCAGCAUAAAAUCCUAACUUAAAAAAAAAGCGGAAAAAAAAAGGAGAAAAAAAGGGAUGCUUUUCCUAAGGAAAGGGAUUGCACUGCAGGUCAAAACUCUGAAAUUAAAGAGUCAGAAGUCCUUUCAGCAAASAAAGGCAUGUGUGGAAAGUGUUAUCCUUUUGAAGUGUAUUCACUUAUUCUGCAAUUGCUUCACCCCACUCCCUGGCGCUUGCCGGGGUUGACCAGGUGGCUCCCUUUGCAGCGACCCCCGUGCACUGAGCAGUUCCCCAAAUGCAGCUUUUCUGGCYGCAAGCAGCCAACUCUGCCACCCCGCUCUCGCUGCCCAGGGGAGAUUUCUGCUGGUCACCGCUUCGUGCUCCCGGCGGGGACUCGCUCUCGUUUCCCAGCGCUGCAAACCGCAGCCUUUUAUCUGCGGCCCCAGACACCGGCCGUGACAAGCAGAGCCGACGUGAGCAUGCC
This is a long non-coding RNA of Dromaius novaehollandiae (emu), 1559 nucleotides long. NCBI's taxonomy places the organism in Eukaryota, Metazoa, Chordata, Aves, Casuariiformes, Dromaiidae. The record is from Ensembl.